RNAcentral lists this ribosomal RNA (560 nucleotides) under Teratosphaeria molleriana. RNAcentral's name for it is "SSU rRNA". It matches the Rfam family "Eukaryotic small subunit ribosomal RNA", at positions 571 to 1134 of the family's 1831-position model. The record is from RNAcentral. Lineage: Eukaryota; Fungi; Ascomycota; Dothideomycetes; Mycosphaerellales; Teratosphaeriaceae.
CAGCCGCGGUAAUUCCAGCUCCAAUAGCGUAUAUUAAAGUUGUUGCAGUUAAAAAGCUCGUAGUUGAACCUUGGGCCUGGCUGGCCGGUCCGCCUCACCGCGUGUACUGGUCCGGCCGGGCCUUUCCUUCUGGGGAGCCGCAUGCCCUUCACUGGGCGUGUCGGGGAACCAGGACUUUUACUUUGAAAAAAUUAGAGUGUUCAAAGCAGGCCUUUGCUCGAAUACAUUAGCAUGGAAUAAUAGAAUAGGACGUCGCGGUCCUAUUUUGUUGGUUUCUAGGACCGCCGUAAUGAUUAAUAGGGAUAGUCGGGGGCAUCCGUAUUCAAUUGUCAGAGGUGAAAUUCUUGGAUUUAUUGAAGACGAACUACUGCGAAAGCAUUUGCCAAGGAUGUUUUCAUUAAUCAGUGAACGAAAGUUAGGGGAUCGAAGACGAUCAGAUACCGUCGUAGUCUUAACCAUAAACUAUGCCGACUAGGGAUCGGUGGAUGUUUCUAUAUUGACUCCAUCGGCACCUUACGAGAAAUCAAAGUUUUUGGGUUCUGGGGGGAGUAUGGUCGCAA